AUGGCGUCUGGCUCUGUUCCCCUUGGGAGGACUAGGAGGGGGCUGGUGUCUUGCGCGCACAGCCUCAACUGCCGCGCCGACGACGCGCCUCUGCCUCUUUACCCCGACCUCGAAAAGGCCAUCUACGAGCUCAUCGUCAACUUCUACGACCAGGCGUUCAACCGGCUGCCCUGCGACAGGAUUCCGGGCCUCCGCGACCUGCUCACCACCGCCGGCACCUACCUCGGCCUCCUCGACCCCGUCUCCAACAUAAUGCUCAACACCAUCGCCCUCCUCCCCGAAGGCACCGCCGGCGCCGCCUCCACCGCUCCACCCGCCGCAAAGAAGUCCAAGAGACCAGCGCGCAACGCCUGGCAGUGGCACGACAUUGCAAACAGGUCCUACAACAGUCUCCUGGGCUUCCUCAUGGCCUACUUCGGAUGUCUCUGCACCAAGCAACAGGCCGCCCGCUACCUCUACUGGGCCGACGCCAAUCUUAGCCUCGCCGUCAUGCUCGUCCAACACGAUCUCUACUAUGCGGAGGUGGAGGCACUGGACCCUGAAUCCGACAGGACGCAGGCCGCCCUGGAGUGGGCGGCCACCAUGGCCGGUCACCCUUCCCCCAGCGUUUUGACCAAGCUCAUGUCAUCCGGGCUCAAAGAGGACGACUUUCACCUUCUGGAGAAGCUACUCUUUUCAGCACCAGAUGUCCCUCUCAAGGCUGAUGAUGUCGGAGCAAUCGAUCGCAUAUUGUGCGUGACGAUGAGCCCGCCCUGUCUUGCCACCAUAAUCCAUACUAGAAAAGGGUCGAUUCUCCAUGUCCAUAAGAACCACGACGCCGCGUGGUCGAGCACCCCCUCCACUAUGGAGGACAACAAGAUCACUUCCACUGCCCUCUCCUGGGACGGAAAGCCCAUCUCGUCGCUGCAGUGCGGACUGCCUGACAAGCUGCAACAUUGCCUCGGAAGAGCAGAUGGCCUGGAACAAUAUUUGAAGAAGACCCCGUGCAGCGUUGACACCUGCGAUUACCUGCAGACCCUUAAGAUGCGCCUCCAAGGUAUGAUUCACAACUUCUGCAUCAAGGCUCUCAAGCUGCUGCCCACACCAUCCGGCUCGUUCAUGCGCGGCUUCCUCAUGGCCGGCCACUGCUACGGCUCCAUGGACCCUGUCUCCAUCAUCAUCGUCAACUCCAUCUGGUACAACAGCCACAGCUGCCCUCUCCUAGAGUCUGAACGCAGCAAGAUUGAGAAAUACAAUGACAUCCUUGACCCUCAUUCUCUGCUCCGCACACAGGUUCACUCCCUCAAGGGCCUUAUGGAGCUCGCCACAUUCGUCGGCCCCCAGUUCUCAACAGAGGCUUGUGCUCUGGAGUUGCUCUGCGAUACAAGAUGUGAUAUUGUUGACAUGUUGCAAUCAUCACCAGAGAUGCUUGAAAAGAAGAACCCCCUCCAUGAAGCUGCCAAGGCCGCUGGACACCCUCUACCGCUUCAGCUGGGUGAACUGCACCAGCUGCUGCUGAUGAUGCCUGAUGAGCGAAGCGCACUGCUCUCCUUGAUGACUGAGGCUCGAACUGGCCGUACUGUGUUGCGCCUCAAUGACAUGACUCUUCGUAUGAGGUGCAUGUGGCUCAAAUGCUCGGCUGCCAAAACUGGUGGCAUUGUGCGAGUUCCUAAACUUUUUCCAGAGUCUCGGAAGUUGGUGUCAAGCAUGAGAUCAAAGUAUGAGGAGCGGAGGAGCUGGUUCCGUUCGAAGAUUGAACAGGUGUUGAAGGAUUACACGACCCAGCAUUUUUGGGAACCAAAAUAUAAACUUGAUAUUAUCUUUGGCGUGGAGGCAAUCAACCAGGGCCGCCCCCCCUUGGGUGAGAUGUGCUACCGCGUGAAUUUCACUGCUACUUCUGAUUUGCAGCUUCAGAGGAUGCUAUUCUUCGCCGAGUUUUUGUUCUCGGGUGGGCCAAGGCCAGAGACCUGCUGCCCUCUACCCUAUGAGUAUGCGGGCCGUUGCUACUAUGGCGAGCAAACCACGAGGAAAAUUAUGUAUCCUGAUGAGGCCAAAUACAUCCCGCACGAUAUCACCCAUUACGGAACCCGCCGCGUGGAUGACAUGCUAGAGAUGGACGUCGUCCACUUCAGUUCCGAGAUGGACGUGGAGCUCACGGAGAAACUCAACAAGAUGCAUGCCCAUUGA
Molecule: ribosomal RNA, 2166 nt
Filed under: Triticum aestivum (bread wheat)
Lineage: Eukaryota; Viridiplantae; Streptophyta; Magnoliopsida; Poales; Poaceae
Description: partial small subunit ribosomal RNA
Source: RNAcentral